Molecule: non-coding RNA, 765 nt
Filed under: Pan troglodytes (chimpanzee)
Lineage: Eukaryota; Metazoa; Chordata; Mammalia; Primates; Hominidae
Source: RNAcentral
GGCAAUCCCUACUCCCUGCCAAAGGAGAACCCAGUUACUGAACAUCGGAUGAGACCGUGGAUACUAAAUUGGGAGUGAAGGUCCAUACCUGGGUCUCAGAAGCACAGUACAGGUUUUUAGAACAAGCCACCUUAUACAAGUUAAAAUUCAUGAAGGAAUGGAUACAGGUUAAGUUACACCAGCCUCCUGAGUAUGACAGCAACAUUCCUUCAGGGAUUAAAGAAAAUGCUUCAGAAGAUUGGAACACUGCUCAGCCUUCCCAAACUUCUUUUACCACUGAUGUUUCUACCUUAGUGAUCUUCCUCCUUAUUUUAAUGCUUCUUUCUCUUUACAAUUAAAAGUUCAUAAAAUCUUUCAACAUUAUUUUUCACUACAAAAGUCUGAAGUUCUCUGUGAAAUGCCUACAUGUAAGAAUUAAGAUAGAUUUUAAAGACUGUCAGUCUCAAAAUUCCAUGCUCAUCAGUUAGUGCAUGAUAUUAAAUUAUGCUUUUUUCCUCCUUUUAAAUAUACCAACAUUAUAUUGCUGAUUUUUUUAUUUACCUGGGUAAGAGCACUGACUCGGUUCUCACUAGGAAACAAAGGUGGGUCUUCUCCAACUUGAAAAUCAAAAUAUACAGUUUUAUGUGUGAAAGUAGAAAAUUCAUUGCUGAAGCAAAAUUUGUAUGUCCCAUUUUUGGAGGCUGUGAAGGUAAAACUAUCAUACUGUUUCUUCAUCUCUUUGUAUAACACUUUACCAUCAGGAUCUUCUAAUCGACAAUCUACAUC